GUAGGCAGCGAGCGUUGUUCGGAGUUACUGGGCGUAAAGAGUGCGUAGGCGGUUUUCUAAGUUUGGUGUGAAAUCUCCCGGCUCAACUGGGAGGGUGCGCCGAAGACUGGAAGGCUUGAGUAUGGGAGAGGUAAGCGGAAUUCCUGGUGUAGCGGUGAAAUGCGUAGAUAUCAGGAGGAACACCUGCGGUGUAGACGGCUUACUGGACCAUAACUGACGCUGAGGCACGAAAGCGUGGGUAGCAAACAGGAUUAGAUACCCUGGUAGUCCACGCCCUAAACGAUGCAUACUUGGUGUGGGUAGUUCAUUCUAUCCGUGCCGGAGCUAACGCGUUAAGUAUGCCGCCUGGGGAGUACGGUCGCAAGACUG
Molecule: ribosomal RNA, 369 nt
Filed under: uncultured bacterium
Lineage: Bacteria
Description: bacterial SSU rRNA
Rfam family: Bacterial small subunit ribosomal RNA
Source: RNAcentral